UGGUAACAUUUCACCUAGAGCAGAAAAAUUUCCCCACUGACAAGGGACCAGUUUGACCCGAAGACAGUGUUCAGUUCCUCCGAGGGACAGUUUUGGAGAUUUGGGUCCGACGUGGGAGCGUAGAAGAGAAUUUACAAGAAGCUCCUUCUGCGCACCCGUCCGAGGAGCGGGUGUAGACGUGAAGAGACUGCGCGUUCCUCGCCGCGUCCGGGGAAGCAAAUAAACACGGAUUUUCUUGAGGAAAAUGAAUGGGCCCAGAGACCACGUUUCAUGCCUUAGUGAACCCCCGACUCCCUCCUUCGAAGGCCAUCUGUCCUUGAGACAAAAAGACCACUUUUUGAAAAAGAUGCCGUUGUUGGUGUGCGAAUCCUGGAAGGAGCCAAGAUUUGGGAAAAUUGUCUCUGCCACCUUCUAAGCUACUCUUCAUAUCAAGUAAAACCCAACUCAUGGGAUUGGGACACGUUUUGGUGAGAUAAAAUAUGUAAAAUACCCAGUAUUCCGUAAAUGAUAACUAUUGUUACAAUCCUCGUUUGCAGAAAAAUUCACCUCAGAGGAUUCCCAUAGGCAUAAAAGACUUCAAGCAAACAUCAUUGGGUAAUAGUUGCACUCGUCGUUGGUAAUAGUGCUUUGAUUGGAAGGAUUCUGAGUCGGAGCCCACACUCGGGGGACUGGGUCUGUCAUCUGGAAGCAAUCGUGCCUCGUGCCCUGUCCAGGAAGGGUCAGCACUGUCCUAUGCUUUUUCCACAUAGACGGCAAGGAUCUUUCCAAAGAUUCCAAGCCCCCUGGAUUCUCUCGGAGAUCUGAUGAAGCCUCUGAACCUGUCUUAGAAAAAAUGAUUUUAAGUCAAUAAUGUAAAAUGCACUUUAAAAGACAGCCAUUAAAGGGGUGCCUGGGUGGCUCAGUUGGUGAAGCAUCCGAC
Molecule: long non-coding RNA, 919 nt
Organism: Lynx canadensis (Canada lynx)
Lineage: Eukaryota; Metazoa; Chordata; Mammalia; Carnivora; Felidae
Exons: 3
Source: RefSeq, a predicted model, not a curated record